RNAcentral lists this ribosomal RNA (253 nucleotides) under uncultured bacterium. RNAcentral's name for it is "partial 16S ribosomal RNA". It matches the Rfam family "Bacterial small subunit ribosomal RNA", at positions 524 to 776 of the family's 1533-position model. The record is from RNAcentral.
UACGUAGGGUGCGAGCGUUGUCCGGAAUCAUUGGGCGUAAAGCGCGUGUAGGCGGCUUGGUAAGUCCGGCGUGAAAUCUUGGGGCUCAACCCCAAGCCUGCGCUGGAUACUGCCUCGCUCGAGUCCGGGAGAGGAGAGUGGAAUUCCCAGUGUAGCGGUGAAAUGCGCAGAUAUUGGGAAGAACACCGGUGGCGAAGGCGGCUCUCUGGAACGGUACUGACGCUGAGACGCGAAAGCGUGGGGAGCGAACAGG